RNAcentral lists this ribosomal RNA (497 nucleotides) under uncultured bacterium. RNAcentral describes it as "partial 16S ribosomal RNA". It matches the Rfam family "Bacterial small subunit ribosomal RNA", at positions 28 to 507 of the family's 1533-position model. The record is from RNAcentral.
GAUGAACGCUGGCGGCGUGCCUAAUACAUGCAAGUCGAGCGAACAGACGAGGAGCUUGCUCCUCUGACGUUAGCGGCGGACGGGUGAGUAACACGUGGAUAACCUACCUAUAAGACUGGGAUAACUUCGGGAAACCGGAGCUAAUACCGGAUAACAUGUUGAACCGCAUGGUUCAACAGUGAAAGACGGUUUUGCUGCCACUUAUAGAUGGAUCCGCGCCGCAUUAGCUAGUUGGUAAGGUAACGGCUUACCAAGGCAACGAUGCGUAGCCGACCUGAGAGGGUGAUCGGCCACACUGGAACUGAGACACGGUCCAGACUCCUACGGGAGGCAGCAGUAGGGAAUCUUCCGCAAUGGGCGAAAGCCUGACGGAGCAACGCCGCGUGAGUGAAGAAGGUCUUCGGAUCGUAAAACUCUGUUAUUAGGGAAGAACAAAUGUGUAAGUAACUAUGCACGUCUUGACGGUACCUAAUCAGAAAGCCACGGCUAACUACGUG